UGAACACUUCACAGCCCUCCAGGUGCCGAGCUGCUACACCUUGCCCCUGUCUUUCUCCUGAUCAAAUAAGUUAGUCUCUAUGGAAGUUAAUGAACUUGCAGAGAUGUGCUUGCUGUUUGGCGUAAAUAUAGGAGAAAUUUAUUGUUCUCAAUAAGACUGAGUUAAACUUGCAUUAAUUUUACUGAUUCCAAAGAGAAAAAAAAAAAAGAAAUUAGGAGUAAGAAUAUUUCUUGAAGAUAAAAGAAUCUGCACAGGGUAAGAAGUUCACUGCCUGGCUUGUGGGCAUGCACCCCUCAGCUUUGCUGCACACAGAGAAGACACCACUGCUACUCUGAAGGGAAAGAGGAUCCGAAUGAAGGGUGAAUGAGGAACCUCAGGUCCUGCUGUGAACACGUAAGCCGUGCUGCUGAUGCUCGUAAUUCCUGCGGAACACGUGGGCGGAUGCCUCUCUCAUUCAGCUAUGAUCGUCCUCUUCCUUUCCCAGACUCCCAUGAAAGCGUGAAAAGUGCAGUUAUUCAUGCACAAUAAGGCGUGAUCGUUAUCGUGAUUUGUUUCUGCAAAUGUUGUUAAAACAAGGCAAUAUCUGAAGCUCCACAAAAGCUGCGCCUUUCUCAUGCAAAGCGGAACAUUCCUGGCGAGUCGAAUGCUGUGUCAGAACUGGAGCUCAGGAUCAGUCAUGUUUAGCAUCAGACCAGCCAGAAUUCUGCUGAGUUGCCAGAGCUCUGCUGAACCGUCAGAGAAACCUGCUGGUUCUUCUCAGCAGGAUAUCUCCAGGAGUGUAUGCUGGACUGGACGUGUGGAUGAAGGCUGGAAUCACAAGGGCACAGUCCAGCAGUUGUCAUUACAAUUAGUUGGUGGACUCCACGGUGUCCUACCAAAGAAACUGAGUACUGGCUUCUGAAGAGUGACUUGUGGAGUAAAACAGCUGUGCUGAAAUAUGGAAAGCUGGGAAUGAGCUGGAGACACUGAAGCCAAGGAAAAAUGUAUUUAGAGCCUGGGGAAUAGCAAACGGACAUGAGAAAACAGCCUCCCAUAGAGUCUCUAAGCCACAAAGAGUUUGAGCAGAAUAUUGAAUCACAGGCACUAAUGGAGGAGAAAAUUUAGGGCAGAAUUUUGGGCCAUAGUUUUGCUUCACCCAGUUCUGGAAAGAACAUCCAGAAAUCUCCAGUAAAACCAUCGAAACCACUGGAACGAGCCACCCCGAGAGACGGACACGUGCUGUCUCAGCCCGGUUCUCCGCCGCGGAUAAUCCUCCUGGCAAAAGCUGCCACCUCAACAGGUGCUGGUGGCCCCCACUGUCUGCUUCAUUAAGGGGCCAAGGACUGUGUGAUUAUGGAAGCUAAACCCUCGAUGAUCCCAAGGUGAAGUUCAACUGGAAGGGCAGCCAGCGGAAGAGGCAUCCCUAUUGUGCUGGCUCCCCGGGCUCCCUCCUGCAGCACGGCUAGCCCAGCACGGCGCACAGCACUAAUCCCUAAUUCAGCAAAACGCCGCAGCCCCUGCUUCACUCCCCAGCUUGGCUACGCGAGGGCAGGCUUGGCACAGAGGGAGAGUGAAAGGAGAGGUAAAUCUGCAAGAGAUAUUGAU
Long non-coding RNA from Anser brachyrhynchus (Pink-footed goose), 1584 nucleotides. NCBI's taxonomy places the organism in Eukaryota, Metazoa, Chordata, Aves, Anseriformes, Anatidae. The record is from Ensembl.